Molecule: long non-coding RNA, 1979 nt
Organism: Papaver somniferum (opium poppy)
Lineage: Eukaryota; Viridiplantae; Streptophyta; Magnoliopsida; Ranunculales; Papaveraceae
Exons: 8
Source: RefSeq, a predicted model, not a curated record
UUCUCAUCUGUAAAUCUCUGCUCCUCUCUCGUUCUCUUCCCCCUUUCUACUACCAUCAACAUCGUUAUCAACAUCAUAAACUCCCAAAUCCUUUUCCCUCUUUUUUUUCGAAGCCCUAGAAAUCUCUUUCUUUCUGAAGAGCCCCCGAACCCAAAACCUAAUGCUCGUCGUCGAUGAAGAAGAAGAUAGAAAAACAUGUUGGAACUAGGGUUAAUACCAUGGGGAAAAGAUGGGGUUCUAGGUCUUCUGUAAAGAACACAACCUUGAAUUUGAAUUUGUUUCUUCGUUAUGGAUUCCACGAAUCAACAUCAGAUCUCAGCAUCAUCCGUAGGAUGUAAGUUCUUUUGGUAUAAUCUCAUAAUACUAAUUCUGUUACAAAUCUUGAUGAUUCAUCAUAUUUCUGUGGUCAUUUCAGCUUGUUUUAAUAGUUCCAUUUUACUCAUGUAUUUCAAUGAUGAAUUAUCAAUUUUGUAUGUUCCCUGGAUGGCCUCAACUAUGUAUCAAUUUUGAUUGCAAGAUAUACAAAUGACUUCCAGAUUGUUAUGGCAGCGUUGCUUAUAGCCUGGGUUAAAGAUAUUUUGAACUCAGGGUUAUGGUUUCACCUUUGGAUCAUUUGUGUUUGUCGUAAUCGACUUGUUGAGCAUGUCUGAAGAGAACUAUUGGGGUGCCUUCUUGUUCGGAAAUUCUUUUUCCACAAUGAUCCGAAUUUUUGCAGAUUGGGGAAGAGGAGGUGUCCUUGGAUGCAGGAGAUUGCGUUUCAGUUUCAGAGCUACACAAGGUGGACUGAACAUUGGUCCUAAUCGUAGCUUUACCUAGAUGGUAAUUCUUUGAUCAGCCUGAAAUGUUUGGCGAGCCUAUCACACCCUCGUGCCUGCUGCACUAUGAAGGUGUAAGACAAGCUACAGGUCAAUGGCUUUCUAUUUUAGUUUGAUAAUCUUUUCUUCUCAAGUUAACUUUGUCAUGAUGGGUUUUCUUAUUGUUGCAUUAAGACCAAUUUCUGAUCUUGAAAAUGGAAUAUUUGGAGCCGGUUAGUAUUCUGAUUAUGGAUUAGUUACCCUCAUGCUUGCGAUUAUGCUUGAAUGGAUAAGAAGGGAUUAAGACUCUUUAAAUUCUCUGAAGAUCUACAAGGGUAAGGACAGUAGCCCACAAAUUUGGGAAUAUGUAGCACCAGUGACAGGGUAAAUACCUCCAACUAUCUUUAGAAAUAUGGGAAAUGCAUAUCUACGUGAGAAUUGUGGUAUUGAGUUGAAAUGAUACUCAUACUACACAUUUCUUCCACUUAUCUAUGGAGAUAACCCCUUCUUAUACGCUCAUGCCAUAUAUUCUUUUUCUUUUCUUUUCUUUUUCCAGCCUGUGAUUGUUUAUUCUUGCAACUAUCUUCUUUGUGUCAUAAUAUGUUGCUUUAGGCAAUCACUGCAAGCAUUGAACUCCCAAAAAUUAAUUUACUUGUUUAACAUUAUUUUCAGGCAUUGCAUGGUUAUUAUGCUGCUUCAGGUACUUACUACAAAGUCCAAGCCAUUAAAGACACAAAAUGGGUGUAAUGAAAAGACAUGGUAUGGAAGGAGGUGUCAUAUCUCAUGGUUCAUCAAAGUUCCAUAGAGGUUGUGGUUCUAUUGGUCAAAGUGAUGCCCCUGGUAAGGUUAACCAGAAAUUUGUGGUAUCUUUAGCUGACCCUGAGGAGUACUCUACCUUGUUCGAGAAACAUGAAGAGCAGGGAACCCGAGAAGAAGAGGCUGUUGAGGUCGAAGAUGAUUCCACUGAUAUGAGCAAUAAGUGUCGCCACUUACAAGGCUUUUUAUGAAGCAACAAGAAACUGUACUUGUUUGAGCAUGUAAGUAAUGAAUGAUAUUGAGCUUGUCUCCAGGUCCUCUGCCUUUGAAAUUGUAUCUACUGUACUGCUAUUACACUUAACAUUAGAACUGCAGAAUUUGUAUGUUCUAAAAACUUGGAACAUGUUUAUAUAUUUGUCAUUCUUUCGA